CCUACGUGCGGCAGCAGUGGGGAAUAUUGCGCAAUGGGGGCAACCCUGACGCAGCCAUGCCGCGUGAAUGAAGAAGGCCUUCGGGUUGUAAAGUUCUUUCGGUAGCGAGGAAGGCAUUUAGUUUAAUAGACUCGGUGAUUGACGUUAACUACAGAAGAAGCACCGGCUAACUCCGUGCCAGCAGCCGCGGUAAUACGGAGGGUGCGAGCGUUAAUCGGAAUAACUGGGUGUAAAGGGCACGCAGGCGGUGACUUAAGUGAGGUGUGAAAGCCCCGGGCUUAACCUGGGAAGUGCAUUUCAUACUGGGUCGAGAGAGUACUUUAGGGAGGGGUAGAAUUCCACGUGUAGCGGUGAAAUGCGGAGAGAUGUGGAGGAAUACCGAAGGCGAAGGCAGCCCCUUGGGAAUGUACUGACGCUCAUGUGCGAAAGCGUGGGGAGCAAACAGGAUUAGAUACCCUUGUAGUC
This 465-nucleotide ribosomal RNA is filed under the name uncultured Haemophilus sp. Its description in RNAcentral is "bacterial SSU rRNA". It matches the Rfam family "Bacterial small subunit ribosomal RNA", at positions 338 to 795 of the family's 1533-position model. Lineage: Bacteria; Pseudomonadati; Pseudomonadota; Gammaproteobacteria; Pasteurellales; Pasteurellaceae. The record is from RNAcentral.